AAAGAUUUAAGCCUGCACGUCUAAKUACAAUCCUGAUAUUAUAAGAGAAACUGCAGAUGGCUCAUUAGAUCAGUUAUGGUUUAUUGGAGUGCGUAAAAAUGCCAUGGAUAACUGUGGUAAUUCUAGAGCUAAUACAUGCAAUCAAGCGCGGACCCUUCGGGGAAAGCGUGCUUUUAUUAGGAACAAGACCAGCCCGGAGGGUUCGCCUUCCGGUCUCCGCUGGUGAACUCUAGAUAACAAUGUCGAUCGUACGGUCUCGCACCGGCGACGCUUCCUUCAAAAGUCUGCUCUAUCAACUGUCGAUGGUAUGUUAUGCGCUUAUCAUGGUAAUGACGGGUAACGGAGAAUCAGGGUUCGAUUCCGGAGAGGGAGCCUGAGAAACGGCUACCACAUCCAAGGAAGGCAGCAGGCACGCAAAUUACCCACUCCUGACACGGGGAGGUAGUGACAAAAAAUAACGAUACAGGCCUCUUCGGAGGCCCUGUGAUCGGAAUGAGUACACUUUAAAUCCUUUAACGAGGAUCUACUGGAGGGCAAGUCUGGUGCCAGCAGCCGCGGUAAUUCCAGCUCCAGCAGCGUAUAUUAAAUCUGCUGCAGUUAAAAAGCUCGUAGUCGGAUUUCUGGCCGGGACGGGCGGUCCGCCGUGAGGCGAGCACUGCCCGUGUCUCCUCGCCUGUAAUGGGCUUGGUAGAAUUUCCCGGCCAGUCAUUCGGUUGAUCGUGCGGUGCUCUUAACUGAGUGCCGUGCGAGACUGGAACGUUUACUUUGAGAAAAUUAGAGUGUUCAAAGCAGGCCAAAGUGCCCGAACAGCUCAGCAUGGAAUAAUGGAACAGGACCUCGGUUCUAUUUCGUUGGUCUAAGGGACCGGAGGUAAUGAUCAAGAGGGACUGCCGGGGGCAUUCGUAUUGCGGCGUGAGAGGUGAAAUUCUUGGAUCGUCGCAAGACGCCCGACAGCGAAAGCAUUUGCCAAGAAUGUCUUCAUUGAUCAAGAACGAAAGUCGGAGGAUCGAAGGCGAUCAGAUACCGCCCUAGUUCCGACCAUAAACGAUACCAACUCACAAUCCGCCGGCGUUCCUCCCAUGACGCGGCGGGCAGCCCUCGGGAAACCAAAGUUAUUGGGUUCCGGGGGAAGUAUGGUUGCAAAGCUGAAACUUAAAGGAAUUGACGGAAGGGCACCACCAGGAGUGGAGCCUGCGGCUUAAUUUGACUCAACACGGGGAAACCUACCCGGCCCGGACACAGUAAGGAUUGACAGAUUGAGAGCUCUUUCUUGAUUUUGUGGAUGGUGGUGCAUGGCCGUUCUUAGUUGGUGGAGCGAUUUGUCUGGUUAAUUCCGAUAACGAACGAGACUCUGGCUUGCUAAAUAGUCUGGCUACCCGUCGAGGUAAGCCACGAACUUCUUAGAGGGACAAAUGGCUCUCAGCCAUACGAAAUAGAGCAAUAACAGGUCUGUGAUGCCCUUAGAUGUCCGGGGCCGCACGCGCGCUACACUGGAGGAAGCAGCGGGUACACUACCCUCGGCCGAAAGGUCCGGGUAAUCCGCUGAGACUUCUCCGUGAUGGGGACAGGGACUUGUAAUUGUGUCCCUUGAACGAGGAAUUCCAAGUAAACGCGAGUCAUCAGCUCGCAUUGAUUACGUCCCUGCCCUUUGUACACACCGCCCGUCGCUACUACCGAUCGAAUGGCUUAGUGAGGCCAUCGGAUCGUCCGUCUGGCAUCCCGGCUUCGGCCGGCGUCAAGGCGUGACGAAAAGACGGUCAAACUUGAUCAUUUAGAGGAAGUAAAAGUCGUAACAAGGUUUCCGUAGUGAAC
Molecule: ribosomal RNA, 1812 nt
Filed under: Pannychia moseleyi
Lineage: Eukaryota; Metazoa; Echinodermata; Holothuroidea; Elasipodida; Laetmogonidae
Description: SSU rRNA
Rfam family: Eukaryotic small subunit ribosomal RNA
Source: RNAcentral